Molecule: long non-coding RNA, 417 nt
Filed under: Homo sapiens (human)
Lineage: Eukaryota; Metazoa; Chordata; Mammalia; Primates; Hominidae
Description: non-protein coding lnc-ERAL1-6:1
Source: RNAcentral
GCCACCUUCCCCUCUCCCCUGGGAGCCAAGAGUCUAGACUGGGCCACCAGCCCAUACCCCUAGUCCUGGCAGCACUGAUUCCCCACCAGAACUGAGCUCAUUGGGGGAUGACCCAAGAAAGCACUGUAAUUGACACUUAGCGAUUUUCUACUCUUCGGACCCGGGGCCAUGGAGCCUUGAGUAGAGUUGUUUUUUUUAAAUCAGCAUAUCAACUUAUUUUCUCUUCUACCCCAAUUCCUUCCCUGCUAUUCUCUACACUCCAGGAACUCACCAGCAGGGAGCAGGCCGCAGCUAAUUUUGGUACCACUUAAGGGUUGCCCAUUCUGGCCCCCCUUCUACUCUCUCACCCUCAAAUCUUUGUAUCUGGAGUGUUUUCUUCCAAGAAGCUGCAACACCCAAGGUUGGUAACUCUCAUAA